GCAAAUUUGAUUAAUGCUACUUCUAUUAGUUUGUAAUAAUUAGAAAAGUCUAAAAACGAAACCCUUUAUUUUGAAAAACAAAAGGCAAUGAAUCAGGUCCGGCAGUUGGUUUUCCAACAAGCCGCACAAGGAGCUCUAGGAACUUCGUACAGUUUAUCUCUACAGCAGUUAUCCUAUAUAAUGAUAUAUAUAUUUUUGGUCGCUACUCUACUAACCGACCAGUCAGAAAGGAUAUGA
RNAcentral lists this ribosomal RNA (237 nucleotides) under Triticum aestivum (bread wheat). RNAcentral describes it as "partial small subunit ribosomal RNA". Lineage: Eukaryota; Viridiplantae; Streptophyta; Magnoliopsida; Poales; Poaceae. The record is from RNAcentral.